RNAcentral lists this ribosomal RNA (253 nucleotides) under uncultured bacterium. RNAcentral's name for it is "partial 16S ribosomal RNA". It matches the Rfam family "Bacterial small subunit ribosomal RNA", at positions 524 to 776 of the family's 1533-position model. The record is from RNAcentral.
UACGUAGGUGGCAAGCGUUGUCCGGAUUUAUUGGGUUUAAAGGGUGCGUAGGCGGCUUUGUAAGUCAGUGGUGAAAUAUGGCAGCUCAACUGUUAGGGUGCCAUUGAUACUGCAGAGCUUGAGUACAGAUGAGGUAGGCGGAAUUGACGGUGUAGCGGUGAAAUGCUUAGAUAUCGUCAAGAACACCGAUAGCGAAGGCAGCUUACUGGGCUGUAACUGACGCUGAGGCACGAAAGUGUGGGGAUCAAACAGG